Molecule: long non-coding RNA, 346 nt
Filed under: Rattus norvegicus (Norway rat)
Lineage: Eukaryota; Metazoa; Chordata; Mammalia; Rodentia; Muridae
Description: long non-coding RNA NONRATT010542
Source: RNAcentral
GCGGAUCUCUCGGGGAAUGAAAGUGCUCAGUACCAGCGCUCCGCUCUGCCCUCGGUGCAGCCCGACGUCCUUGCGGUUUGCUGCUCUGCCAAGGAUCGUGUUUAUUCUCGAGUUUCUUCUCUUCCUCCCCACUCUCAGUGGUCCAAGUCCAGACGCCGUUUUCAAGGGGCGUGGCUGGUAGAGGAGAAGGUGACCUGGCACUCUGGGCUCAUGGUCGCCUGUGGGGCACUGGGUCACCCGGGGUGCCUGGCUGGACUCAGAUCUACAGGGCCCUUGAAAUGAGCUCGGGAGAGGGUCAGGAGGCUCUAAAACCUGAACUGGCCCUUAAGGUCGGUGCUUAGAGACG